RNAcentral lists this ribosomal RNA (481 nucleotides) under uncultured bacterium. Its description in RNAcentral is "partial 16S ribosomal RNA". It matches the Rfam family "Bacterial small subunit ribosomal RNA", at positions 28 to 523 of the family's 1533-position model. The record is from RNAcentral.
GACGAACGCUGGCGGCGUGCUUAACACAUGCAAGUCGAGCGGAAAGGCCACUUCGGUGGUACUCGAGCGGCGAACGGGUGAGUAACACGUGAGUAAUCUGCCCCUGGCUUUGGGAUAGCCACCGGAAACGGUGAUUAAUACCGGAUACGACCACUUCUCGCAUGGGAUGGUGGUGGAAAGUUUUUUCGGCCAGGGAUGUGCUCGCGGCCUAUCAGCUUGAUGGUGAGGUAAUGGCUCACCAUGGCUUCGACGGGUAGCCGGCCUGAGAGGGUGAACGGUAACACUGGGACUGAGACACGGCCCAGACUCCUACGGGAGGCAGCAGUGGGGAAUAUUGGACAAUGGGCGGAAGCCUGAUCCAGCAACGCCGCGUGAGGGAUGACGGCCUUCGGGUUGUAAACCUCUUUCAGCAGGGACGAAGCGCAAGUGACGGUACCUGCAGAAGAAGCACCGGCCAACUACGUGCCAGCCGCCGCAGUAA